This 247-nucleotide long non-coding RNA is filed under the name Trifolium pratense (red clover). RNAcentral describes it as "long non-coding RNA (TPRA_LNC007634)". Lineage: Eukaryota; Viridiplantae; Streptophyta; Magnoliopsida; Fabales; Fabaceae. The record is from RNAcentral.
AACAAUUAAUUGGAAAAUAGAAGAACUCAACAAUCGCGGGAACAUCAAAGGGAAAGAAGGGCACAAUAUGAAAGAAAUAGAAGACAAAGAAUGAGCAGUGAGCAAAGACAACGAGAGCUAUUAAGAAGGCGAGAGAAUUAUAAUCAAAGCAAAAAUAAGGGGAAACAAGUGGAAACAUCUACAAAUAAUGAUGUUGCUUCGAGAGUGCCAUUCCAAAAUCUUACAAAUAUGAAUUUUUCAAGUACAA